Molecule: ribosomal RNA, 253 nt
Filed under: uncultured bacterium
Lineage: Bacteria
Description: partial 16S ribosomal RNA
Rfam family: Bacterial small subunit ribosomal RNA
Source: RNAcentral
GACGUAGGAUGCAAGCGUUGUCCGGAUUUAUUGGGCGUAAAGAGUUCGUAGGUGGUUUGUUAAGCCAGCUGUGAAAUCCCCGGGCUCAACCUGGGAACUGCAUUUGUGACUGCACGGCUGGAGUGCGGCAGAGGGGGAUGGAAUUCCGCGUGUAGCAGUGAAAUGCGUAGAUAUGCGGAGGAACACCGAUGGCGAAGGCAAUCCCCUGGGCCUGCACUGACGCUCAUGCACGAAAGCGUGGGGAGCAAACAGG